RNAcentral lists this ribosomal RNA (751 nucleotides) under uncultured crenarchaeote. RNAcentral's name for it is "bacterial SSU rRNA". It matches the Rfam family "Archaeal small subunit ribosomal RNA", at positions 46 to 774 of the family's 1478-position model. The record is from RNAcentral. Lineage: Archaea; Thermoproteati; Thermoproteota.
AAGCCAUGCAAGUCGUGCGCUCUCAAGCUAUGUUGAGGGCGCGGCGAACGGCUCCGUAACACGUAGUUAACCUACCCUCGGGAUGGGGAUAACCCCGGGAAACUGGGAUUAAUACCCACUAGAUGAUUAUACCUGGAAUGGCUCAUCAUCGAAAGAGUCUGGAAACAUGCUUCCAGCGUCGCCCGAGGAUGGGACUGCGUCCGAUCAGGUUGUUGGCGGGGUAACGGCCCACCAAGCCUAUAACCGGUACGGGCCCUGAGAGGGGGAGCCCGGAGAUGGAAACUGAGAAAAGGUUCCAGGCCCUACGGGGUGCAGCAGGCGCGAAACCUCCACAAUGCGCGAAAGCGUGAUGGGGUUAUCCCGAGUGCCGUCCGAUGAGGAUGGCUUUUCAUCGGUGUAAGGAUCCGAUGGAAUAAAGGGGGGGCAAGACUGGUGUCAGCCGCCGCGGUAAUACCAGCCCCCUGAGUGGUAAGGACGAUUAUUUGGCCUAAAGCGUCCGUAGCCGGCUUAUCAAGUCUUUUGUUAAAUCCAACGAUUCAAUCGUUGGGCCGCAAAAGAUACUGUUAUGCUAGAGGACGGGAGAGGUCGACGGUAGUCCAGGGGUAGGGGUGAAAUCCUAUAAUCCUUGGAGGACCACCAGUGGCGAAAGCGGUCGACUAGAACGUGCCUGACGGUGAGGGACCAAAGCUGGGGGAGCGAACCGGAUUAGAUACCCGGGUAGUCCCAGCUGUAAACGAUGCCGGCUAGGUGU